RNAcentral lists this ribosomal RNA (253 nucleotides) under uncultured bacterium. Its description in RNAcentral is "partial 16S ribosomal RNA". It matches the Rfam family "Bacterial small subunit ribosomal RNA", at positions 524 to 776 of the family's 1533-position model. The record is from RNAcentral.
UACAGAGGGUGCAAGCGUUAAUCGGAAUUACUGGGCGUAAAGCGUGCGUAGACGGUUACAUAAGUCGGGUGUGAAAGCCCCGGGCUCAACCUGGGAAUUGCAUUCGAGACUGCGUAGCUAGGGUGCGGAAGAGGGAAGCGGAAUUUCCGGUGUAGCGGUGAAAUGCGUAGAUAUCGGAAGGAACACCAGUGGCGAAGGCGACUUCCUGGCCUGUUCUUGACGCUGAGGCGCGAAAGCUAGGGGAGCAAACGGG